Molecule: long non-coding RNA, 477 nt
Organism: Balaenoptera acutorostrata (minke whale)
Lineage: Eukaryota; Metazoa; Chordata; Mammalia; Artiodactyla; Balaenopteridae
Exons: 3
Source: RefSeq, a predicted model, not a curated record
UUUUAGUGUGUCUCUCUCAUUUGUUUGUUGCUUUUCAGCAGUUUUGAUUUUUUUUGGCAUAUGUUUGCGUGUGCUUGGUUAAAUAGACUCACUGAUUAUAUUAUUUAGUUCUAACUAAACUAACCCUUAUGAAAUGGACCAAUGAUUUCAAAAGAUUCCUGCAAGAAACAAAACUGAGGCCUGAAGACAAUACACUAAUCAUGCCAGCACAAGUGAAUGGCAAGAAAAUGGCAGAGCUGACGAUUAUCCUCCUCAUCGUAAGAGCUUUUCCGCAGCCAAAUUAUAAGGGUACUGCUUGAUGAGAGAGCUGCACAGCAGAUACUGGGGAGAUCUUUGGAAAAGUCUCUUGAAAGGUGUACAGUAAAGAGUAGGUGGUACUCAGAGAUUUCCUCACUGCCAAUCUUUGACUGGGAAGGCUAUGAGAUGCGCAAAAAUGGAGAGGAGAAUGAUGAGAAAAUGGAGGCUCAGAAAGGCUAA